UACGUAGGGUGCAAGCGUUAAUCGGAAUUACUGGGCGUAAAGCGUGCGCAGGCGGUUAUGUAAGACAGAUGUGAAAUCCCCGGGCUCAACCUGGGAACUGCGUUUGAAACUACAAGGCUAGAGUGUGGCAGAGGGGGGUGGAAUUCCACGUGUAGCAGUGAAAUGCGUAGAGAUGUGGAGGAACACCGAUGGCGAAGGCAGCCCCCUGGGUUAACACUGACGCUCAGGCACGAAAGCGUGGGGAGCAAACAGG
RNAcentral lists this ribosomal RNA (253 nucleotides) under uncultured bacterium. RNAcentral's name for it is "partial 16S ribosomal RNA". It matches the Rfam family "Bacterial small subunit ribosomal RNA", at positions 524 to 776 of the family's 1533-position model. The record is from RNAcentral.